GGACUUUCUCCACGGCGGCAGCUCGGGGACGCAGGGGAUGGAGCCCAGAGCCGCGAGGCCGGAGUUGGAAAAGCUCCGCAAGUGCUCCGCAAGAAGCCCAGCCAUGCCGCUGUCUGUCCAGUAGCAUGAGAAAGUCGCUCAGGUCCUUUGGUUUUGGGACUGCGCAUAAAACAGGCCCACUCCUGCCCACGGGAGCACGUGGAGCCUGGGUCUGCACCCAUCUCUUGGAAAGAAUAAAGUCAGCUCCAUUCUGAAUUUACCACGCCGUGUUCUCUACAGCCCCACAAGCCCUGUGUCUGUUGAAGGAAGCUUCUGGAAUGGGAUCCAGUUCAGCCCACCAGGAUCCCAACUGUUCGGCUAAUGGAGUCUGGUUGUAGGCUGAACACUGGACAUCCCUUGUCUCUGCCACGUAACUCUCAGGCUGCUCCUGAGCUGGUCCUGGUGUUGGGACAAAGUCCCUGCUGCUGUGGACAUGUGACACCCAAUGUCUGUUCCUGUACCACUUCUCCUUGAACAAUAGGCCUGGAAUGAACCUUUCCUUUCCAUAAAUUGUUUCUGAUAAGGUGUUUUGUCCCAUCCAUGAAAAGAACAAAUACUGCUGGCCCAAUACUAGUCCUGGGGGAGCAGAGCUGCCUGCAGCCCUUGGGAAACCCACCUUGAUCGUCUCAUACGUGUCAGUGAUCAGCGCGAUGAACAGGCUGAGAAUCAUGUAGAUGAAGAGGCUGAUGAAUGAAUAGAGGUAAAUUCUACUGAAGAGCCAGACCAGGUAACUCUUCUGCUGCAUUCUUGCAAAAGUGGCAAACAUGUCAUCUCCAUUGAUCAGAGAGAAAAGGCACUCGGAGACCCUGUUCAGAGAACGGAACUGGAAAAAAUAAAGAAAAGUCACUUUUGGCUGCAUACGGAAUUCAAGGCUAGUGUGGGCUACCUGAGAUCCAGUCUUAAAAUAAAUAAUUAACUGGUAAUAAUAAUACAAAUAAAGAGGGUAAACAAGCAUUUUCCCUUGUUCUGGGAACUUACUAACAGCAGGAAGAAAGCUGGCACCACUACCUUAUCAUGGUAAGGCCCCAGAACUAUCCAUCCGCAGAAGCAGUACCCUAAAUAGAUCAUAGCAGCGCAGCAGCAGAACCUCAUGACAUUGGGCAGCGCCGCCUGGAGCGUCAGGAUCAGGAGCUGUGGAUGAAAAAGAGGUCACUGGGGUAUCUGUCCUUAAGGCAAAUCAGCAGAGCAACUUGAAGGAAGUUCUGUGGAAUUGCUUACAUUGUACUUCUCAAAGAAACCCAGGUACCGGAUCACACCGAGCCACACGAGCAUUGUGGAAGUCCCCAGAAAUAUGCUACAGACAUCAUAACUUGUGAGGCUCUAAGAUGGAGUAGAAAUAAAACACAAAUUAGGACUGGAGAGAUGGCUUAGUGGUUAAGGCGCUUGCCUGCAAAGCCAAAGGACCCAGGUUCAAUUCCCUAGGACCCAUGUAAGCCAG
Jaculus jaculus (lesser Egyptian jerboa) is the source of this 1477-nucleotide long non-coding RNA. RefSeq lists it as uncharacterized. The transcript is spliced from 5 exons. The record is from RefSeq and is a predicted model, not a curated record. NCBI's taxonomy places the organism in Eukaryota, Metazoa, Chordata, Mammalia, Rodentia, Dipodidae.